AGUUGCUGAAGUUCAAUGAGUUGUAUUUGCAAUUUGUUGCUUCUGAGAAUACCCCAAACAAUACGAUGUUAACACUAUUAUACAGUUACUUUCCGUAGUUAAUGAAAUGGGAUAAGCAAGAAUAUAAUGGCCAACGUGAUCUUGACCAAGUUGCUGGAAGAAUUACUGCUGCUUUUUAAGAGAUAAAUUCAGGCAAUUUUAUGAAUACAUGAGUUAGAAUCACAUCCAAUGGCCAACGUAGGGGAAAAAUCUUUUUUCUUUUUUUAUUUAUAUUUUUACCCUGAUUCUAAUUUUUUAAGUAAAAAUAAUACUAUUCACGUGCCUUGGCAGCGUGAUUUACACCCAAUUUAGCCAUGUCAGCUAAAAUGCUUCCAUAUAGGCAUUUUCAAUGGUCAAAAGUGUUUAUUAAUACUCAUUUUAUUAAGUUUGAGUGUUCAAAUGGAAAAAUUUAAAGUUCGUGUAUCGACUUUCAAAACCCUUACAAGUUUAAGUGGCUAAAAAGUCAUUACGCCUAUUUAAGACUAAUUUGAAAUCUAAUAUAAGGCUACUAUUAUAUACAUGCUUGGGAUAGAUGUGUUACACCUUUAAUCAUUUUGGAUAAAGGAGUUGGGCCAACUUAAAGAAUGAGACCCGCUACAAUAUUCUGUAAUUAAAUAGACAUCGAGUAGCAACAAAUCUCGUCUCCUACUUUGGUGUAAAUUGCAGUGGUGUCCAAACACUAUUAUACACAAAGUAGCAGCAUUUCUAAGUGUCAUUGUAUCCAUAUAAAAAAACUGUUUGACAUGACCGUCACAUUCACACCACAAACACGCUCCACACACUUUCCCUUUCUUCGUUUGACCACAACUAUAUAUGACAUCAUAAUGUUUGAAGACUACUAUUUCUGUAUCUCAUUCUUCUUAAUAUAAACAAAGGCUAAUAAUACUAAUGAAACUAUAUCUGCUAGGAAAAGAUGAUGAAUUAUACAGAUAGUGGGAUUAAACCAUGAAUUUUGAUGCAAGAAUGUCUUUUAGUUCCAUUUGACUCCUGUGAAUCAAACACUUAAUAGAAAAUUCAUGCCAGCAUGUCCAAUCUCAAACAUUUACGGCAUGUUCACAUACAUAUUGAAGUCAUCCUAUUUGAUAAAAGAUUAUAUGGGAACACCUAUGUUGAACGAGAAGUCGAACCAACAAGCAUUUUUAAAUUUUCACAUCCAAGCAUGAAGAGGAAUCACAUUAACUCAAGGGUACACUACUCAACUCCCCCAUUACUAUUUAUUAAUUUAUUAUUAUUAUUUUAUUAUUUAUUUUUAGUUUAAUCUUUAUAUAUACCUAAUUAUGUUUAUGUAAUAUUUUUAUAAUAUUAAUAUUAUAUCUUAGCUUUGGUGUAUAAUUUUAAUAAAUUAAUUUUCGUGCAUUUAUUAUUUUUAUGUAAAAUUAUAAAUUAAUUAUACAAGAAAUAUAUAAUUAUCUCAAAAUAUAAAUGGUGCAAAUAUAAAAUAUUAGAUAUUGAUAAAAAUGAAAUGUGCGAAUAUAAAAUAUUAUAUGUUGCUAAAAUUAAAAAGUGAAAUCAACGAUUUCAAGAAUUUUUAGCUCGAUAUAGAAGAAUUAAGGACAAAGAUACUCAUUGCACUUUGUAAUGCAUUUGUAUGGGUCAAAAUUUGAUUUCAUGAUAAUGAACGAGCCCAACGCAUUUAUUAAAGCAUGGUCAUGAUUAAUAAAUGGUAUGGCCAUUAUUUAACAAGAUUAUAGGGCAGUUACCUGACGUGACAACUAAGGUCGCGGUCUGGUCGUCCUUACGAGGGCGUCCCCUAUAUGUGGUCCCAACCCCUAAGCGCCAGCUGGUAGAUCCCCUGGCUAUAAAUACUAAGAGAAAGAACCCUAAAAGGGGGCUGCUUCUUCUUCUUUUCACAUCCACUUCGAAAAGAUGAGAUGAUACAUCCCUAUAAGGCUCUGAACCUCCCUAUGGAGAGGCAGACCAAACCAAUGUGAUUAAUAAGAAAUCUUCAUCCUCCUCCAUUUAACUUAUUACUACUGUCUCCUGUAUUUUAUUCUUUUGAUCUUUGGAUUUAUUACGAUCUGCUAUGAUUGGCCCUCUCUUUAUUUUUAUUGUUUUAUGCUUAUAAAGUGAAUGAAAACUUUGGGCUAAACAAUUUGGCGCCGACUGUGGAGAUUUCAUAGCAGAAUUACGUAGUUUAUCCUUAGACCGAAAAAGGAAAAUUAACAAUCCAGCUCGAAUGAGCUCAAGUGGCAUAUCGGAUCAUAGGGAGUCAAAAACCUCGAGAUGAGCUUGCUUCCACAUCCCUGCGUCUCUGAGCAAAGGGAAGAAGAAGAAGAAGAAGCAGAUCCCCCAUCCGUUUGGGAAAAAUAGGCCUAAGGUACGUCACCCCCUCUCCACACGGGAUCCUGCCAAAAGGGAGGACAGCAUGAAAUCGUCUCUCAAACUUAUGCUACGCGCCUUCAAAUAUUACAAAGGUUCAACUACGGUUGAACAUCAGCUCAGGCCACGUGCCUUCACUCGAAAGUUCAAUUACAGUUGAAUUGGGACUCAGGCUAUGUGCCUUCAAUACAGGCUAUGCUCCUUCGACUCAGGCUAUGCGCCUUCACCCAAAAGGUUCAACUACGGUUGAACUGAGACUCGGGAGAUGCGCCAUAAGAUAUUACAAUGGUUCAACUACAUUUGAACAUAAAUUCAGGCUACGUGCCAUCGACUCAGGCUACGCGCCUUCAAAAAUUACUAAAGUUCAACUACGGUUGAACGACAACUCAGGCUAUAUGCCUUCACCCAAAAGGUUCAACUAAGGUUGAACUGGGAAUAGGGCUAUGCGCCUUCAAUUUAGGCUACGCGCCUUCAAAUAUUAGAAAUAUUCAACUACGGUUGAGCGUCAAUUCAGGCUAUGCGCCUUCACCCAAAAAGUUCAACUACGGUUGAACUGGGACUCAGGCCAAGUGCCUCCGCCAAUAUGAAUUACAAAAGAAUUCAACUAUAAGUUAAACCAGGACUCAGGCUACAUGCCCCUGUCAUAAAAGCCGCAAACUCAACCACGGACGAAUUGAAUCCAAUGACACACGUCCCAAUGGCUAUGGGCUAGGCCGCGAUUAGGGGAGAACGAGCGCUCCAGACGUCCAAGCACGGACGAACCCCAGGUCGGGACUAGUGCCCCGCCAUUCAAGUAAGUACGACUAACUUAAAACUAAAAUGUCGGCCCGCGUAAAGUUCGGCCCAAGUCGAACUACAAAACUGUAUUUUUCGUUACCACGGCCAGUAGUUCGACUAGCCCGAACUGGGACUAAGGCUAUGUGCCGCCACUGCCCAAAGAAACUAUAACUAACUCCUGUCACGCAGAGGAAGGUGACGACCAAAAGCGUCUAUCUACGGCCAAGGCCAUCUGCACCAAUCGCCUCCUAAGGCAAAGGGUCGGUUAUACAAUGGUCGAAACCACCUAACCAGUCAAGACUAUUUACAUGCCCACUGGGAAAACUCUAAAGCAAAGCCCUUGUAAACGGGCACAAAAAAAUAUAAAGUAUUCAACACAAAGGAAGCAGAAAAGAACAAAACCACAUAUAUUUACAAUAUCUACAUGGGGUUGCCCCCAAUUACAUUGGCCCAAGGCCGGAAAAGAAAACAAAAAAAAAAGAGAGAAAAUGAAAACUAAACAAACAUUACAAAUUUUCCCAUUUGUUCACUCGGCACCCCCAGCGCCCCCUUUAACAUUAUCAGCACCCUCGGCGACAUCAUCACCCCCAGGCGUAGACAGGUCAAAAUCAUAGUCGAGGCGGGCUUCACGAGCCUUUUGGCGUGCCUCAUCAUAUGUGGCCUCAGACACGACGCGGCUUCCCACAACCGCAUGUACACAUCGAUCCGGGCUUGGGCAUACGUCCAAAGCUCACGAGCAUGACUAAAAGAAGCAACCUGGUCCCUCAGGCGCUGGUUCUCGGCCUCCAAGGCCGCAAUCCGGUCUGCUCCAGUACGGGCGUACUGCUCACAGACAGCAACGCGCCCCUCCAACGUCCGCUCUCGAAAGGCAGUGAUGGCCCUCUCUAAUCCACGCUCCCUUUCUCGGGCAUGGUUGGUCGCCUGCAGUGUUUCAACCCUCGCCAGGGCGUCCUCUGCAUGCUUCCUUGAAGUGGCAGCCUCAGUCUCUAAGGCAGCCACUUGCCUAGUAAAAGCUUCAGCGGCCUCUGCUGCAGCAACCAUAUUUUGGCGCUCCCUCUCAGCAACCGCCCUUCUCAGCAUCCAUCCCCUCGUUUGCUUGGAGGAGCUGCCCCUCAAGAGCAGUUACCCUGCUGAGCGUCUGUUGCAUAUGAAUCUCCCUCCGCUCCAGCUCUUCUACUAGCUCCCGGUUCUGCGGAUUGUUCCUUAUGCAUUCACGCAAGCCGCAGCACCGGUCAUGGUAGCGGCGAUAAUUCUCCAACAACCGCAAUAAAGCAGCCGAGCGGACGUUAGCCUGCCUGAUGCUCUCCACCUCCACCAAAAAUGUCUACAACAAACAGAGCGACAGUUAAUACAAGAAGACAUGCUAAAAAAGAAAACAAACCAAAGUUUUAUACAUACCUUUAUACUCAGGGCGGCCACUCGCCCAUCAACCUAACGUCUGAGAUGCCUCUCAGGGACGUGCUCUCCGCUUCCGAACACAGAACCCCGAACAGCAUCACCAGGUUCUCCUCCUCGAGUAGUAGGUUCAGGUCGUUAGGGAUCUCCAACUAACGGUAAUCCCCUUCGGCCUGCAGCGCUGGGUGGGUAUAACCCUCCUAAAAAAGAUGGACGUCCUCGGGAUCCAUAUCAGACUCCGAAUCGUCACCCUCUCCUAAGGCGUUCCUUCCUUCCGACGCCCUGGAAGUCGAGGCCUCCGCCACCCGAGACGUCGAGGCGCCCGCAUUCGCCAAAAUGUCGGCGCCUGCAUUCUCCACCAAAACAGUUGUCGAGGAACUACCUCCCCUCUCCGCACAGGAACAGAAACUUGAAUCGCCGAAGCGAUUGUGUCACCUUGGCCUAAGCCAACCGGGAAACCCCCACUGAGUGCUCACCCUCAGGGGCAAGGUUCGUUGCGCCCUCCCCUUCCGCCGAUGGCGAAGAGUCUAAACUAAUCACCACCGGAAGAGCCGGGGUGAACGCCACCCUGCGUCGAACCAGCGGCUUCCCAUCUUCUUCCUUAUCUUCAUUCGGUGAUCACUCCGGCCUGGAAGCACAACCCCUGGAGACUCCUCAACUCGGGGCACGGGCCGUACCGGAGAGUGUGCAGUCGAAGACUCUACCGAUGUCGCCCUCGGAACCAGAUGAGGCGCCAACGUUGUAAUCAAUCGGGCAGUCGCCCCUGGCAUGCGGAAAGCAAGCUGAGGAGCCCUCCUGCCCCGUGGUCGUUCUGACCAGCCAAAGAAGGAGGGUUAGGCCAAAUAAACUAAGGACUACGAAAAGAGAUCAAUAAACGGCAAUCAGAUUCUUACCAGCAGCUGGCCUACGGCCAUGGACCUCCCUGAAAGACGCCUACAUGCGAAUCCCCGUUGUAAUAGGGAGCACGGCCUCGACCCACUCACGGAUGCCAGAGAAUGGCGCCGGUGGCGCACCUCCUGCUGUAAUACAAGAAGAAGAUCAGUACAUACAAACAUAAAUAAGGGCAUUUAACCAAAGGAAAUCAGGGCCAUCGUAAAAGAAACUUACGAGCAAGGUUCCACUCCUCUUGGAAGCCGGUAGCGCAGGCCACCAGGUGCUCGGUCCUGAUGUAAAAGAAAUGCUCGUAAGGACGGGUAGCGACCUCGUCAUCGAGCUCCGCAAUUAAGCCUUCAGCCCCACGAGGGACCAGCCGAAUCAUGGUACCACGUACCCUCUGAGGGGCGUAAAAAGUUAGCACGUGCCCAAGUGUAAUCUUCCUCCGUGCAGCUUUGCAUAUUUGAUCACCAUCGCCAAUAAUUUGUAGCAAGAAGGGACGAACUGACCAGGGCACACCCUGUAGUAACGGCAAAUGUCCACCACCAGCAUGGGGAGAGGAAGCCUAAUUCCCAGCUUGAAAGGGUAGGCAUAAAAGACGCAGUACCCUUGGUGGUCAACGUGUACCCUAUUGCCGCUCCUUGCCAAGACGAUAUCAACGAAGCGAGGAAUAUCACACUGCUCCUUCAGCUGAGAAAUGCCAACUUCCCCCAUCAGUGGAGCCUCAUCCACUUGAUAUUCUCCCUCGAAGUCGGUAACAUCGGCCGUCAUACCGCCGGGUAGGGAAAGAAUGUCUGUCGCCGACGGGAAUCGGUCAACAUUCGGCGAAUCGGUGGUUCACCGUAGAGGGGCCCGCAGCCGCCGCAACCGCCACCAGAUCUAUACCAGAACGAGAACUGCUCGCCAUUAUCAGUAUAAUGAGAAAAAAUGGCAAAAUUCACUGAAAAACAAGAGAAUACGACGAUCCGACAAAAAUGACGGAGAAUGAAUACGAGGAGUAAAAGACUAGAUAAUCUGAAAACAAGAAGGGCUAUCUCUCUCAGAAUUCCACUCAGACAAAUAUCGGAAAAGUGAGAACUAAACGAUACAACCCCUUAUUUAUAGACAAAGAAUAAAUGACCUUCACAAAUCCUAAAGGUCAGCAUUAACUACCUGACCAACUGCAAACGGUUAAGGCCUACAGUGACGGGCACCAUUAUGACAGAUACCACUAAACGGUCAUUCAACCGUCAAUCGAUGCUUCCCCCAUGAAACGGAUGUGACGACCUCGAGGUACCAUGGGCACGCUCCAUGCGUCACAAUGCAUAUGAUGUCCCCCUUAUACGCGGUAAGCAUGAUCGUAUUCUCUCCAGACACGCGUAAAUAGCUACGACCAUCUCCAAAGUAAACAUGGCUACGACCAUCUCUAAAGUAAAAAUGGCUACGGCCAUCUCAGAAGUAAAAAUGGCUACGCCUAUCUCAAAAUUGAAAAUGGCCACGGCCAUAUCCAAAGUAAAAGUGGUUACGGCCAUCUCAGGGGUAAAAAUGGCUACGGCCAUAUCCAAAGCAAAAAUAGCCACGGCCAUCUCAGAAGUAAAAAUGGCCACGACCAUCUCGGAAGUACAAAUGGCUACGGUCACAUCGGAAGAUAAAAUGGCUACCGCCAUCUCCAAAAAAUAAAAUGGCUACAGCCAUCUCCAACAGAUAAAACGACUACGGCCAUUUCUAAAUCAAAAAUGGCUACGACCACCUCCCAAGUGAAAAUGGUUACGGCCAUUUCCGAAGAAUAAGGGGCUACGAUCGCCCCCAAUACAUAAAUGACUACAGUUAUAGGUAGAAUCCGCUCAUCGAGCUCAGCCUAGGCACGCCCUUAAUAAGCGGAGGGACUAUCUGUAUGGGUCAAAACUUGACCUCAUGAUAAUGAAUGAGAUCAACGCGUUUAUUAGAGCCUAUUCACGAUUAAUAAAUGGUACGACCAUUUAUUAACAAGAUUGUCGGGAGGUUACCUAAUGUGACAGCUGAGGCCACAGACUGGCCGUCCUUACGAGGGCAUCCCCUCUAUGUUGUCUCAGUUCCUAGGCACCAGCUGACAAAUUUUCUAGUUGUAAAAACUAAGAGAAAGAACCCUAAAAAGGGGGCUUCUUCUUCUUCUUCACACCUCCUUCUGAAAGAUGAGAGAAUACAUCAUUGUAAGCCUCUGAACCUCUCCAUGGAGAAGCAGACAGAACCGACAUUAUUAAUAAAAGAUCCUCAUCCUACCCCCUUAAUCUAUAGUUGUUGUCUCUUGUAUUUUAUUCCUUUGGUCUUUGGAUUUAUUACGAUCUGCUAUGAAUAAUCAGAAUAAUAUGAAGAUGACCUCGAAAUGGAAAUACGAUGGUUCCUUUAGCUCCGUUAGGUGAUUUUGGGGUUGAGAGAAUGAUUGGAAUAUAUUUUGGAUGACUAUAGCUUAUUAAGGCUAGAAAUGCCGAAAGUUGAUAUUUGGGGGUUCUGGUCCGAUAGUGAAUUUUUUAUCCGAGUGUUGAAACGGAAUUCCGGAAUUGUUGUAGCACCUUCAUGUCAUUUGGGACGUGCAUGCAAAAUUUCAGGUCAAUCGGACGAGUGUUGUUUAGGUUUUGGAUCGAAAGCGUAUUUUGGAUAAACUUGAGGUUCUUAGGCUUAAAUCUUUGAUUUAAUCGGGUUUUUGGUGUUGUUUUGGAGGUUUUAUGGAUUGGUACAAGUUCAAAUAACGCGUUAGAAGGUAUUGGUGUUUUGGUUGGGGUCCCGGGGGGCCUCGAGAUGAUUUCGAAUAGUUGACGGGGUGGAUUUUGAAGUGUUGCAGCAGCUGAUGUUUUUCCCUUCUGGUAUUUUCGCUUAUGCGGUUAGUGAGCCGCAGAAGUGGAGCCAAAUAAGCGUCCUGUCUCACCGCAGAAGGGAUGUGGGGUGUGGCCUUCAGAGACCGUAGAAGCGGUCAACUACCCGCAAAGGCGAAACCGCAGAUGCGGUUGUACGUCCAAAAAAGCGGACUCUGGCCCCCUUAAUGAAAUCCGCAGAAGCGGAUCCUUUGUCCGCAUGUGCGGGACCGCAGAAGCGAAAAUUGUUCUUCUGAUAAGGGUUUAUCCGAGGUUUAAUUUCAAAAGUUGGAAAAUCAAUAGAGAGCUCGAGAGAAGGUGAUUUUGAGUGGGUUUUAAAGAGAAGAUCAUUGGGUAACGUUGCAAUGGAAAUUAAAAGAUAAAAUUGGAAUGAAAGAUAAUAAUAUAAUAUAGAAGAGAAGGAAGAAUAUAAAAAAGUUUGGGGGAGAAAAAGGGAAUGAAUGGAAUAAGUUGUAUUUAAAAUGAAAAAAUUUUCAUUUUGGGGAUAAAAGUGGGGUAUGGUCUUAGACUAGCAAAUUGUGGUGGAAAAACAUACUAUUGACUAACUGUGCUGCUACUCCUAUAGUUCAAAACCAAGUUAUAUCUUCAUUUUUCGAACAACUUAUUUCAUAGACGAGCAACAUCAUACAUGAUAUACAGCCACUACAGACGAAACUUGGCAUUCAAAGUGUACAUAAUAUCAAAUUCCAUGAUAGAGUUUCAGUCAAAAAUCGAGAAAAUAUCAACAUAUAACACUAAACAAUCAGAUUUUUAUUUUAUAGAUUUGGCAUAUAACUGCACAAGAAUCUGACAUACCCGAUAAUAGAAAUCGGCAGGAACUGACUCAAAAGAAAAUUUUGAAACAGCCUCGACUAGAGCUCAGCAACAAAUUGAAAGAAAGACAGCAAGAAACAGCAGAGUUCCCAGCUAGCUCUAUUUCAGAAUCCCAAAAAUACAAAUGCAAAUGUUUUCGAAUCCUCAGAACCAACUACAACUUUUUUUCUUGUUUUCUGAAUUAUUUGGAAUGCAAAAAUCGAUCUCAGCUCUACUGCUUUUCCUUGAAUUUCAAAACCUUUUGGCUUUUCUUUUUGGAUCUAGAUUUGCACUCUAUAAUAUCUAUGUAUUACAGGAUGUGUGUGUAUCCUUUUUCAAUUUUGAGAGGAGAUUUCUCAAAAAUCUGAAGGGGAAGACGUUGGUUUCUCUUAGGAAGGGAAGGGAGGGUCUGAUGGCUAAGCUCUCUGACGUGUGGUGUGUUCUUUGGUGAUGGUGAAAAUGGAGAAGAAGCUAGGAGGGAGAUGGUGCGCCGUUCACUCUUAGAAGGGGGAGGGGGUGAGAGGGGGGCUCUUUGGCUCUAAGGCCUCAUUUAUUUGUAUUUAAUGAAUAUUUGAAUCUUAAUUAUUCAAAUCUCAAACAUUAAGUGUAUUUAUUUUUAAAGUUUGAAUUUUAAUUAUUCAGAUCUUAA
This 9672-nucleotide long non-coding RNA is filed under the name Nicotiana benthamiana. RNAcentral's name for it is "long non-coding RNA (NBEN_LNC032493)". Lineage: Eukaryota; Viridiplantae; Streptophyta; Magnoliopsida; Solanales; Solanaceae. The record is from RNAcentral.